Molecule: ribosomal RNA, 440 nt
Filed under: uncultured bacterium
Lineage: Bacteria
Description: partial 16S ribosomal RNA
Rfam family: Bacterial small subunit ribosomal RNA
Source: RNAcentral
CCUACGUGAGGCAGCAGUGGGGGAUAUUGCACAAUGGGGGGAACCCUGAUGCAGCGACGCCGCGUGGGUGAAGAAGCGCCUCGGCGCGUAAAGCCCUGUCAGCAGGGAAGAAAAUGACGGUACCUGACUAAGAAGCCCCGGCUAACUACGUGCCAGCAGCCGCGGUAAUACGUAGGGGGCAAGCGUUAUCCGGAUUUACUGGGUGUAAAGGGGGCGCAGACGGCGAUGCAAGCCAGGAGUGAAAGCCCGGGGCCCAACCCCGGGACUGCUCUUGGAACUGCGUGGCUGGAGUGCAGGAGGGGCAGGCGGAAUUCCUGGUGUAGCGGUGAAAUGCGUAGAUAUCAGGAGGAACACCGGUGGCGAAGGCGGCCUGCUGGACUGCAACUGACGUUGAGGCCCGAAAGCGUGGGGAGCAAACAGGAUUAGAUACCCUUGUAGUC